UCAGCUCGUGUCGUGAGAUGUUGGGUUAAGUCCCGCAACGAGCGCAACCCUUGUGAUUAGUUGCCAGCGGGUAAUGCCGGGAACUCUAAUCAGACUGCCCAGAUCAACUGGGAGGAAGGUGGGGACGACGUCAGGCCAGUAUGGCCCUUACGCCUAGGGCUGCACACGUACUACAAUGCCCAGCACAAUGAGAACCGAGA
This 200-nucleotide ribosomal RNA is filed under the name uncultured Luteolibacter sp. RNAcentral's name for it is "partial 16S ribosomal RNA". It matches the Rfam family "Bacterial small subunit ribosomal RNA", at positions 1055 to 1254 of the family's 1533-position model. Lineage: Bacteria; Pseudomonadati; Verrucomicrobiota; Verrucomicrobiia; Verrucomicrobiales; Verrucomicrobiaceae. The record is from RNAcentral.